CAUCUCUCAGGGUCACACCUGGAGAGUUUCCAGUACUCUAUCUACUAGUCUCGGCUACGGGAGGGAGAGUCAAGCAGAGGCACACCCAUUCCAUUCCUAGCUUGGUCAGUGGCCAGCGAGUGGAAGGCAAUCUGCUACAAGU
Molecule: small nucleolar RNA, 142 nt
Filed under: Ornithorhynchus anatinus (platypus)
Lineage: Eukaryota; Metazoa; Chordata; Mammalia; Monotremata; Ornithorhynchidae
Source: RNAcentral